Molecule: ribosomal RNA, 356 nt
Filed under: uncultured Desulfobulbus sp.
Lineage: Bacteria; Pseudomonadati; Thermodesulfobacteriota; Desulfobulbia; Desulfobulbales; Desulfobulbaceae
Description: bacterial SSU rRNA
Rfam family: Bacterial small subunit ribosomal RNA
Source: RNAcentral
UCUGGAGACAGGUGCUGCAUGGCUGUCGUCAGCUCGUGUCGUGAGAUGUUGGGUUAAGUCCCGCAACGAGCGCAACCCUGCCUUUAGUUGCCAGCAGUUCGGCUGGGCACUCUAAAGGGACUGCCGGUGGUUAAACCGGAGGAAGGUGGGGGAUGACGUCAAGUCCUCAUGGCCUUUAUGACCAGGGCUACACACGUACUACAAUGGCCGAUACAAAGGGCAGCGACACUGCGAGGUGAAGCCAAUCCCGUAAAAUCGGUCUCAGUCCGGAUUGGAGUCUGCAACUCGACUCCAUGAAGUUGGAAUCGCUAGUAAUCGUGGAUCAGCAUGCCACGGUGAAUACGUUCCCGGGCCUU